RNAcentral lists this ribosomal RNA (429 nucleotides) under Chloroflexota bacterium. RNAcentral describes it as "Chloroflexi bacterium partial 16S ribosomal RNA". It matches the Rfam family "Bacterial small subunit ribosomal RNA", at positions 355 to 776 of the family's 1533-position model. The record is from RNAcentral. Lineage: Bacteria; Bacillati; Chloroflexota.
UGGGGAAUAUUGCACAAUGGGCGCAAGCCUGAUGCAGCCAUGCCGCGUGUGUGAAGAAGGCCUUCGGGUUGUAAAGCACUUUCAGCGGGGAGGAAGGCGAUAAGGUUAAUAACCUCAUCGAUUGACGUUACCCGCAGAAGAAGCACCGGCUAACUCCGUGCCAGCAGCCGCGGUAAUACGGAGGGUGCAAGCGUUAAUCGGAAUUACUGGGCGUAAAGCGCACGCAGGCGGUUGAUUGAGUCAGAUGUGAAAUCCCCGGGCUUAACCCGGGAACUGCAUUCGAAACUGGCAGGCUAGAGUCUUGUAGAGGGGGGUAGAAUUCCAGGUGUAGCGGUGAAAUGCGUAGAGAUCUGGAGGAAUACCGGUGGCGAAGGCGGCCCCCUGGACAAAGACUGACGCUCAGGUGCGAAAGCGUGGGGAGCAAACAGG